This 254-nucleotide ribosomal RNA is filed under the name uncultured bacterium. RNAcentral describes it as "partial 16S ribosomal RNA". It matches the Rfam family "Bacterial small subunit ribosomal RNA", at positions 524 to 776 of the family's 1533-position model. The record is from RNAcentral.
UACGUAGGGUGCGAGCGUUUGUCCGGAAUUACUGGGCGUAAAGAGCUCGUAGGGUGGUUUUGUCGCGUUGUCCGUGAAAACUCACAACUCAAUUGUGGGCGUGCGGGCGAUACGGGCAGACUGGAGUACUGCAGGGGAGACUGGAAUUCCUGGUGUAGCGGUGGAAUGCGCAGAUAUCAGGAGGAACACCGGUGGCGAAGGCAGGAUCUCUGGGCCGAAUGACUCUGAGGAGCGAAAGCUGGGGAGCGAACAGG